Long non-coding RNA from Zingiber officinale, 331 nucleotides. RefSeq lists it as uncharacterized. The transcript has 3 exons. The record is from RefSeq and is a predicted model, not a curated record. NCBI's taxonomy places the organism in Eukaryota, Viridiplantae, Streptophyta, Magnoliopsida, Zingiberales, Zingiberaceae.
AGGAAAUUGGAGGGCUAACUAAGUUGGAGCUCUUGGACUUGAGAAACAAUAAGCUAACUGGUACAAUACCCAAGGAGAUUGUAGAAAUGCACUCUCUAAAACAUCUUUUGCUUUGCCACAACAAAUUCCAAAGCAGAACAUCUGCUGAAAAGUCUAACAAGCACGCCGAUCAAAUACAAGAUUGGAAUCAUUCAUGUGAUGCAGCUGAUGAUCUACAACCUCUAAACAGAAAAGUUGGGCAUCGUUUCUGGGAGACAAGCUGGGAGAAACUGAAGAAAAUUAAUUCCUUUCUAGUCAUGCUUGAAGGAAGAAUCAUACAAAUCUUUAGCAC